This 945-nucleotide ribosomal RNA is filed under the name Enterococcus faecalis. RNAcentral's name for it is "bacterial SSU rRNA". It matches the Rfam family "Bacterial small subunit ribosomal RNA", at positions 42 to 957 of the family's 1533-position model. Lineage: Bacteria; Bacillati; Bacillota; Bacilli; Lactobacillales; Enterococcaceae. The record is from RNAcentral.
GCGCAUGCUAUACAUGCAAGUCGAACGCUUCUUUCCUCCCGAGUGCUUGCACUCAAUUGGAAAGAGGAGUGGCGGACGGGUGAGUAACACGUGGGUAACCUACCCAUCAGAGGGGGAUAACACUUGGAAACAGGUGCUAAUACCGCAUAACAGUUUAUGCCGCAUGGCAUAAGAGUGAAAGGCGCUUUCGGGUGUCGCUGAUGGAUGGACCCGCGGUGCAUUAGCUAGUUGGUGAGGUAACGGCUCACCAAGGCCACGAUGCAUAGCCGACCUGAGAGGGUGAUCGGCCACACUGGGACUGAGACACGGCCCAGACUCCUACGGGAGGCAGCAGUAGGGAAUCUUCGGCAAUGGACGAAAGUCUGACCGAGCAACGCCGCGUGAGUGAAGAAGGUUUUCGGAUCGUAAAACUCUGUUGUUAGAGAAGAACAAGGACGUUAGUAACUGAACGUCCCCUGACGGUAUCUAACCAGAAAGCCACGGCUAACUACGUGCCAGCAGCCGCGGUAAUACGUAGGUGGCAAGCGUUGUCCGGAUUUAUUGGGCGUAAAGCGAGCGCAGGCGGUUUCUUAAGUCUGAUGUGAAAGCCCCCGGCUCAACCGGGGAGGGUCAUUGGAAACUGGGAGACUUGAGUGCAGAAGAGGAGAGUGGAAUUCCAUGUGUAGCGGUGAAAUGCGUAGAUAUAUGGAGGAACACCAGUGGCGAAGGCGGCUCUCUGGUCUGUAACUGACGCUGAGGCUCGAAAGCGUGGGGAGCAAACAGGAUUAGAUACCCUGGUAGUCCACGCCGUAAACGAUGAGUGCUAAGUGUUGGAGGGUUUCCGCCCUUCAGUGCUGCAGCAAACGCAUUAAGCACUCCGCCUGGGGAGUACGACCGCAAGGUUGAAACUCAAAGGAAUUGACGGGGGCCCGCACAAGCGGUGGAGCAUGUGGUUUAAUUUUCGAA